AAUGUUUCAGUUUCUUCUUCCUGUUAAAUUCAACUAGUUGCCCAACAGAUACAGUUUUCUGUAUGCAAGUGCUCUUUAACAUGCUCCGAUUAAGUACAAUUUUUUGCACUGUAAACAUUAGAUAUUUUCAACCCAAGACAAGCUGGAGCAGCAAUUGAAUGGUUGAUAUUAUGUAACAAAUGUUUAUUCCGAAUCUUGGUGUCCAGGAGCAACUAUGAAGUAUUUUUACAGUUCAAGCUGGACAACUAGGAGAAAUUUUUACUAUUCAAGCUGGAGCAACUAUGAGAUUUGAGCAGGGCACUGAGGAGCUAUGAAGCUGGAGUGAACAUCCCAAUCAGAUCCUGUUGUGAAUGGAGUAAGAAUCUAGUACUUAGCUGACCGUGAUGUAGUGAUCUCAGGUGAAGCUGGAAGCUGAGGAAUCCCUAUCGAGUUCGCAAUGCCUCACAGUCCACGCACAUCUAAAGUGUCAACUGUGACGGGCUCAUACUGAUAAAAAGAUUCAUCAACUCGAUAUUUCAAUUCAAUGAAAAGCCCUUUAUC
Triticum aestivum (bread wheat) is the source of this 540-nucleotide long non-coding RNA. RefSeq lists it as uncharacterized. The transcript has 2 exons. The record is from RefSeq and is a predicted model, not a curated record. Lineage: Eukaryota; Viridiplantae; Streptophyta; Magnoliopsida; Poales; Poaceae.